This is a long non-coding RNA of Galeopterus variegatus (Sunda flying lemur), 468 nucleotides long. RefSeq lists it as uncharacterized. The record is from RefSeq and is a predicted model, not a curated record. The transcript has 2 exons. Lineage: Eukaryota; Metazoa; Chordata; Mammalia; Dermoptera; Cynocephalidae.
GACUACAUACACAUAAGAAAAAAGUCAAUACGAAAGGGCUUCUAACAAGUAAACAGCUGUUCUUCAUCUCUCAGACCUCUACAUCCAAUUCUCUUGUGGCUUCCUUCGACUUUUGUCAUUAAAAGCUGGCCAAUACAGGAAUCCAACCCUGGAGCUUGAUGUUAUCAGCGCCACACUCUGACCAGCCCAGCUAACUGGCCAGCCUCUCAGAAUAAGAUAUUGUAUGUCUUACAGUUAAAAACUGAAAUCAUUUGAGCAGUUUUCAGCAUGACCUGUUAAUUUUGAAUGUAGGGAAUAUACAAAGUAGGUAAAUACAUGUACUCAUAAAUGCUGUAUAAUGUAACUCUAUAUAAAAUUCACAGUUAGAUGCAUUUGAUGAUGCAAAACAAAAAAAGUACUUUUAGAGGGCUUCUUAUUUAAAAACACAGUAAAAGUAAUAUUCACAUGCAUUAAACAUUGCAAACCAUC